Molecule: ribosomal RNA, 253 nt
Filed under: uncultured bacterium
Lineage: Bacteria
Description: partial 16S ribosomal RNA
Rfam family: Bacterial small subunit ribosomal RNA
Source: RNAcentral
UACGUAGGGACCAAGCGUUGUUCGGAUUUACUGGGCGUAAAGGGCGCGUAGGCGGCGCGGUAAGUCACUUGUGAAAUCUCUGAGCUUAACUCAGAACGGCCAAGUGAUACUGCAGUGCUAGAGUGUGGAAGGGGCAAUCGGAAUUCUUGGUGUAGCGGUGAAAUGCGUAGAUAUCUGGAGGAACACCGGUGGCGGAGGCGGCAUCCUGGACCGGUAUUGACGCUGAGGCGCGAAAGCCAGGGGAGCAAACAGG